CACAAUCAGAGUCUGGAGGUUCAGAUUCCUUUUCAAGAUAGGAAUUAAUUUCCUAUCACAAAGACAAAAAUUAAACUCCUUCAAGGGAGCAUCAUAUGAUGAUUACACAUAUAGAGCGCCGGCAAUUCCGCCGUUGAGGGAGCGUUGAGAUGAGGUGAGCUACUGGAGGGGCGGUGGCUGCUCUGCUACCGAUGGAGAGAGGCCUGCUAAAAAAUCGUUGGAAUAAGGCUAAA
RNAcentral lists this unclassified non-coding RNA (233 nucleotides) under Hevea brasiliensis (rubber tree). Lineage: Eukaryota; Viridiplantae; Streptophyta; Magnoliopsida; Malpighiales; Euphorbiaceae. The record is from RNAcentral.